Molecule: small RNA, 83 nt
Filed under: Marmota monax (woodchuck)
Lineage: Eukaryota; Metazoa; Chordata; Mammalia; Rodentia; Sciuridae
Source: RNAcentral
GCCAGGCGCAGUGGUGUACACCUGUAAUCCCAGCAGCUUGGGAGGCGGAGGCAGGAGGAUCGUGAGUUCAAAGCCAGCCUCAG